This 254-nucleotide ribosomal RNA is filed under the name uncultured bacterium. RNAcentral describes it as "partial 16S ribosomal RNA". It matches the Rfam family "Bacterial small subunit ribosomal RNA", at positions 524 to 776 of the family's 1533-position model. The record is from RNAcentral.
UACGUAGGGAGCAAGCGUUUGUCCGGAAUCAUUGGGCGUAAAGAGCGCGUAGGUGGCUUUAUAAGUCCGUUGUGGAAGUCAAAGGCUCAACCUUUGAAAGCCGAUGGAUACUGUGAAGCUAGAGUACGGAAGAGGCGAGUGGAAUUCCUGGUGUAGCGGUGGAAUGCGCAGAUAUCAGGAGGAACACCGGUGGCGAAGGCGGGUCUCUGGGCCGAUACUGACGCUGAGGAGCGAAAGCGUGGGGAGCGAACAGG